Molecule: ribosomal RNA, 491 nt
Filed under: uncultured bacterium
Lineage: Bacteria
Description: partial 16S ribosomal RNA
Rfam family: Bacterial small subunit ribosomal RNA
Source: RNAcentral
AGUGAACGCUGGCGGUAGGCCUAACACAUGCAAGUCGAACGGCAGCACAGUAAGAGCUUGCUCUUACGGGUGGCGAGUGGCGGACGGGUGAGGAAUACAUCGGAAUCUACUUUUUCGUGGGGGAUAACGUAGGGAAACUUACGCUAAUACCGCAUACGACCUACGGGUGAAAGCAGGGGAUCUUCGGACCUUGCGCGAUUGAAUGAGCCGAUGUCGGAUUAGCUAGUUGGCGGGGUAAAGGCCCACCAAGGCGACGAUCCGUAGCGGGUCUGAGAGGAUGAUCAGCCACACUGGAACUGAGACACGGUCCAGACUCCUACGGGAGGCAGCAGUGGGGAAUAUUGGACAAGGGGCGCAAGCCUGAUCCAGCCAUACCGCGUGGGUGAAGAAGGCCUUCGGGUUGUAAAGCCCUUUUGUUGGGAAAGAAAAGCAGCAGGUUAAUACCCCGCUGUUCUGACGGUACCCAAAGAAUAAGCACCGGCUAACUUCGU